Molecule: long non-coding RNA, 458 nt
Filed under: Equus caballus (horse)
Lineage: Eukaryota; Metazoa; Chordata; Mammalia; Perissodactyla; Equidae
Description: lncRNA (ENSECAG00000055365.1)
Source: RNAcentral
GGCGUGGGCGGUAGUUCUUCAAGCUGUAACUCUUGAGCUGUUAACUCUCAUAGAGCUGUAUACCGAUCAUGCCGGAGUUAUCUUCAAAAGUCCAACUAAACUCAUCAGUGUGUUCAUCAACCAAUAAUAUAUGACCGUCGUAUGAGAAUGGCACCCAAAUAACAUGAUGCUGGAAAUAAGAGCCAUUCAGGUUCUGCUUGGAUUCUAGGUUGGUAUCUGCAUUCUUUCUGGGUCAUCCAGGAUCUCAUAUCAUCUCAAGAGCCCAGGUAGGGCCUGAAUCCAGUAACAAGUGUCCUUAUAAGAGACAGGAGAGAAGACACAGAAAAGAUUAUGUGAAAGAUGAAGGCAGAGAUUGAAGUGAUGUGGCUACAAACCAAGGAACACAAAAGAUUCCUGGAAGCCACUAGAAAGUAGGAGGGAAGUAUGCGACAAAUUCUCUCUCAGAGCAUAAAGACGGA